AGUGAACGCUGGCGGUAGGCCUAACACAUGCAAGUCGAGCGGCAGCACAGGAGAGCUUGCUCUCUGGGUGGCGAGUGGCGGACGGGUGAGGAAUACAUCGGAAUCUACUCUGUCGUGGGGGAUAACGUAGGGAAACUUACGCUAAUACCGCAUACGACCUACGGGUGAAAGCAGGGGAUCUUCGGACCUUGCGCGAUUGAAUGAGCCGAUGUCGGAUUAGCUAGUUGGCGGGGGAAAGGCCCACCAAGGCGACGAUCCGUAGCUGGUCUGAGAGGAUGAACAGCCACACUGGAACUGAGACACGGUCCAGACUCCUACGGGAGGCAGCAGUGGGGAAUAUUGGACAAUGGGCGCAAGCCUGAUCCAGCCAUACCGGGUGGGUGAAGAAGGCCUUCGGGUUGUAAAGCCCUUUUGUAGGGAAAGAAAUCCAGCUGGCUAAUAACCGGUUGGAAUGACGGUACCCAAAGAAUAAGCACCGGCUAACUUCGUGCCAGCCGCCGCCGUAA
This 506-nucleotide ribosomal RNA is filed under the name uncultured bacterium. RNAcentral describes it as "partial 16S ribosomal RNA". It matches the Rfam family "Bacterial small subunit ribosomal RNA", at positions 29 to 523 of the family's 1533-position model. The record is from RNAcentral.